GGACGAACGCUGGCGGCGUGCUUAACACAUGCAAGUCGAGCGGUGAGGCCCUUUCGGGGGUACACGAGCGGCGAACGGGUGAGUAACACGUGGGUGACCUGCCUCUAGCUCUGGGAUAAGCCUGGGAAGCUGGGUCUAAUACCGGAUAUGACCUCGCGGUGCAUGUUGCGGGGUGGAAAGCCUUGUGCGGCUAGGGGAUGGGCCCGCGGCCUAUCAGCUUGUUGGUGGGGUGANGGCCUACCAAGGCGACGACGGGUAGCCGGCCUGAGA
This 270-nucleotide ribosomal RNA is filed under the name uncultured bacterium. RNAcentral's name for it is "partial 16S ribosomal RNA". It matches the Rfam family "Bacterial small subunit ribosomal RNA", at positions 27 to 297 of the family's 1533-position model. The record is from RNAcentral.